Mycena leptocephala is the source of this 88-nucleotide non-coding RNA. NCBI's taxonomy places the organism in Eukaryota, Fungi, Basidiomycota, Agaricomycetes, Agaricales, Mycenaceae. The record is from the annotation of a GenBank genome assembly.
GUGGGUGUGGUGUAUGGAACACAGCUGCUGUGCUUAAGCGACUGCGCACUUUGUGUAGCAGACCCGGGUUCGAUUCCCGGCACCCACA